Molecule: ribosomal RNA, 253 nt
Filed under: uncultured bacterium
Lineage: Bacteria
Description: partial 16S ribosomal RNA
Rfam family: Bacterial small subunit ribosomal RNA
Source: RNAcentral
UACGUAGGGGGCUAGCGUUGUCCGGAAUCAUUGGGCGUAAAGAGCGUGUAGGCGGUCCGGUAAGUCCGCUGUGAAGGUCGGGGGCUCAACCCUCGAAUGCCGGUGGAUACUGUCGGGCUAGAGUGCGGAAGAGGCGAGUGGAAUUCCUGGUGUAGCGGUGAAAUGCGCAGAUAUCAGGAGGAACACCUAUUGCGAAGGCAGCUCGCUGGGACGUAACUGACGCUGAGACGCGAAAGCGUGGGGAGCAAACAGG